This is a long non-coding RNA of Nicotiana attenuata, 243 nucleotides long. RefSeq lists it as uncharacterized. NCBI's taxonomy places the organism in Eukaryota, Viridiplantae, Streptophyta, Magnoliopsida, Solanales, Solanaceae. The record is from RefSeq and is a predicted model, not a curated record. The transcript is spliced from 3 exons.
CCCUAUCCAGUAGAGCUGAACAAUAUUCUCCAAAGAAAAUUCAUGUUUAAGGUUAUUGUCAAGAGAGAGAACAUUCACCUGCAAAAGGAAGUUUAUAGUGUUGUUAAGCUUACGGAUGAGGAGCAACUGAUAAACAAAUAUAGUCCUGAUCAACCUCCAGAUGACUUAACUGAACCUGACUUCAAUAAUAAUCAAGUCUUGGAUGGAGAGAAGGAAUGCGAGGAUUCCACUGAAGAUAACGAC